Molecule: ribosomal RNA, 440 nt
Filed under: uncultured bacterium
Lineage: Bacteria
Description: partial 16S ribosomal RNA
Rfam family: Bacterial small subunit ribosomal RNA
Source: RNAcentral
UCUACGGGUGGCAGCAGUGGGGAAUAUUGCACAAUGGGGGAAACCCUGAUGCAGCGACGCCGCGUGAGCGAAGAAGUAAUUCGUUAUGUAAAGCUCUAUCAGCAGGGAAGAAAAUGACGGUACCUGAGUAAGAAGCCCCUGCUAAAUACGUGCCAGCAGCCGCGGUCAUACGUAGGGGGCAAGCGUUAUCCGGAUUUAAGGGGGGUAAAGGGAGCGGAGACGGCAGUGCAAGUCUGGGAGGAAAGGCGGGGGUUUAAACUCCGGACUGCUCUGGAUACUGUACGACUGGAGUGAGGGAGAGGUAAGUGGAAUUCCAGGUGUAGCGGUGAAAUGCGUAGAUAUAAGGAGGAACACCAGUGGCGAAGGCAGCUUACUGGACUGUAACUGACGUUGAGGCUCGAAAGCGUGGGGAGCAAACAGGAUUAGAUACCCUGGUAGUC